This is a non-coding RNA of Coffea arabica (coffee), 4902 nucleotides long. NCBI's taxonomy places the organism in Eukaryota, Viridiplantae, Streptophyta, Magnoliopsida, Gentianales, Rubiaceae. The record is from RefSeq and is a predicted model, not a curated record.
GAUCACCAUUAAUUCUGGCGGCAAAUAGCGUGUUAUUAAGGUUUCAGUUCACACACAAAACAGAGCGUGGAAACGGAGGAGAUCGGAGGGCUAGCGGCCCGCAGGCCCAGCAGCAACUCCUAUCACCAUUUUCUGUCGUGGGAGCAUGUCUACCCUCUUCCGCCGCCGCUCACUGGCGGCUUACGUCUACGGCCAUGUGCUGAACUCCCAUAAGGUCCACACUUCAACAGCUCCACUGCUGCAGGAAACCGGUCUCUACGGUUUCAACCACUUGAAAACUCCCAAAGGCUUCCGACGCUUUGUUGAGGACGCCAUAGAAAGGUCAAAUGAGCUCGUCACCUUUAUUUCUGGAAUGCCAUCUGCUCCGGAAAUUAUCGGAGCCAUGGAUGAGAUAUCCGAUACAGUAUGUUCAGUUAUUGACUCUGCAGAACUGUGUAGAGCUACACAUCCGGACAGGGAAUUUGUUGAGGAGGCAAGCGAGGCGUCCCUGAGGAUUAAUGAAUAUAUUCAUCAUCUUAAUACAAAUCAUUGCCUGUACAUGGCGGUGGUAAAAGCUGAGCAGGAUUCCCAUUUGCUAAAUGAAGAAGCUCAAAGAGUAGCCCAUCAUUUACGUCUUGACUUGGAAAAGGCUGGCAUUCAUCUGCCUAGUGAACAGUUGGAUCGAGCUAAUCAGCUUAAUAUGGAGAUUGUUCAGCUGUGCAGAGAGUCACAUGGAUAUCUUUCCAGCAUCACACAUCCCAAAAAAGUUACACCAUCUUGCUAGGCCUAUCUAUCGGACUACAUCAGGUGCAUUUGGGGGAUCAGCAUGGUCUAUGACAAACAUGAAAGAGAAGGGCUUUCGAUUACCAACCGAUCCAAAUACUCUCUCCUCUAUUCUGCAAUGGGUAUCAGAUGCUGAGAUUAGGAAAACCGCUUAUAUACAAGGAAACUCUGCCCCACUUGGAAAUCUUGGUGUCCUCGAUAAGCUUAUUGCAGCUCGUCAUGAGUUUGCUCAGAUUAUGGGCCAUAGUUCCUAUGCAGAUCUUGCUGUUCACUCAAGUAUGGCUUCAUCACCUGAUAUCGUAUUAUCGUUUUUGCUUGAAAUGAGCGAAAUAGUUAGACCUAGGGCUGAUGAGGAGUUUAAGACAAUUUGGAAUUUCAAGAGAGAGAAAAGUGGCCAGCUCUAUGGAGACUUGGAGCCAUGGGAUGAAACAUACUUUACCGCUAUAAUGAAGUCUGCAGUUUAUGAUUUAGAUUCCUCGGUAUAUUCUGCAAAACCUGCAUGCAUUGUAGUUUGUCAUUUAUAUUCCGUUCCUACUAUAGGCUAGCUUCUUAUUGUCCAUGUAGUUUGAUAUUGUUUAUACUGUUAAACCAUGAAUGAGCAAUUGUUAAUACUGGUGCACAUGUUUAGCUUUUGCCUUUAUACUUAAACAGUGGGAUAGCUUUCAUGGAAACUCAACAUACAAAGCCUACCUGCCCCAAGCAAGUUGUUAUUCUGUUUUAUUUUGCUUGAUCAUGACUCAGUAGAUUGGUUUUGGAACCACGACUUUUCAGCACUGGUUACUUUAGUUUAAAAACUUGCAAAACUUAAUGGGGACUUAAAUGCAAUUAAGUCAAUAGGUGAGAAGGUAAGAAAUCGAUUUGCCUUAAUGUAGAUUUGGAACAAAUAAGGGAGGCUUAGAACAACUAUUUAGAUGAUUGGUUGAGACUGCUCGCAUCCAGAUUUUUAUUAGUAGCAAAGGACUGGGUUUCUGUUUGUACCUUAUCCUGAUACUGAGAAGGGAAAUUUGACUUAUUCCUUUAGCUGCUAAUAGUAGAUUAAGGACUUCCACUUUUAGUCAUUCAGAAACUUUAGUCAACAUUAAGAAAACCUAAUUAAUAAAUGAGGGUCUAAUAUUCAAGAACUAUUCUCUGCGCAUAUUUAAGUCUUCCAAUCCUUGUAAGGAUGUACAGGUGGGUGCAUUGGCACCAACUAAUAUCUUUAUUGUAAAUUGUUGGUAACUUUUUCCCAGUAGCUGGAAUGCUGCUCAUUAUUUGUUGUUCACAUUGCCUACAUUUUUAGCAAUUGCAUAAUAUAAGAAAAAAAUUGAGCAAAAGUCAUCGUCAAAUGCCUUUGUGAAUGUAAGAUGGUUGACAAUAGGAUGGCUUUAAUUGCUAAAGCUAUUCCACUUGUUGCUAUGUGUAAUUUCUGCAGUCCCAUAUGUUGCUGUAUAGACACUUUGUUGUGUUUGCUUAAAUAUUUGUUCAAUUACCUUAUUCUCUUCAAAUUGCAAAUAGUAGGCUCUUUAUUUAAAUUAUAUGAUUGGCUCUAUCCAUUAAGCAGGUUGUUGCAUCAUUUUUUCCUUUAUCCCAAUGUCUUGAGGGCUUGAAAGUUCUUGCUGAGUCGUUGUUUGGUGUGACAUUUCACCAUAUUCCUCUUGCCCCUGGUGAAUCAUGGCACCCAGACGUCAUUAAAGUAGCCCUACACCACCCGGAUGAGGGUGACUUAGGGUACUUGUACCUUGAUUUGAAAUCGAGAAAGAAUAAGCAUCCUGUUUGUGCUCAUUUUGCUAUCAAAGGGGGACGUCGAUUAUCUGAAACAGAUUAUCAACUUCCUGUAUGUGAGGUUCUUUCUUCUUUAUUCUCAUUCUACAAUUUCCAUCUGGAAAUUGUGAUGGCACACGUUUAUAAUCUGUGGUAUCUUAUGACCACUGGAUGUGAAAUGUUGAUCAUUCUACAUCUUCUCCUGGAAUAUAUGAUAUUAUGCUUUAGAAUUGUGGUAUUGAGUUCUGUGCUUGAAAUGCUGAUCACCUUUAGCAAAUUUCAUUCUGAUACAAGGAAAUGAGGUCCUUGACCACUGAAUGAAAUCAAAUUUUCAAACUCAUAUCUUGAAUUCAAUGGUGGGCGUUGCCAUUCUUGGGUAUAGAUUGUUUAUUAGCAUGAAGGUCUCAAAGGCAGGAAACUUUGUGUUUGCUUAAAUGCUGAGUAGAAGUUUCCCCCAUGGGAAGUUUAACAGUUCUAGAUGUUAUUCCAUAGUUUGUAAAACUUGGUUUUUGACUAUUUAUGCCAAUCAGACUUUACUCAGCUUUUUCCUGGUCAGAAUCCAGGACUUAUGCAACAUGAGUCAUGUCAAUCGAUGUACAGGCAGUGUCAGGAUAGUCAUGCAGAGGUUAAGUUGAGGUCCUGGUGAUGCAUGACAUUCAUGAGAAUUUUUGGUAAUUUUUUAGCUGUACCAUGCUACAUACAACCUUCUUUAGUUGCUCUGGAUAUUUUUAUGUGUGAACUCGAGUAUACAGAUGAUGCAAGCAAAUAUAGUAAUGUGAUCAGAAUGAUGCUUGGCAUUCUUUGUAUGUGCCUGGGAAACACAUAUUAACAAAUAUCUUAUGAUUGCAGUAAGAAAUAGAUCUGUGCAUAUGAUGUUUAUACUGGAUAUAACAGACUUCUUCUUGAUAACCUGCAGAUUGUAGCCCUAGUCUGCAACUUCUUGGGCUCUAAACCAGCAUCUUUACUCAACCACUGGGAAGUAGAAACACUUUUCCAUGAGUUUGGACAUGCACUUCAUUCAUUGCUUUCCAGAACGGUAUCUGAUGAAUGGGAUGGUAGUUGACUAGUUUUUACUUUGUUUUUCUUAUUUGAAGUGAUUGUUUGCCCUUGAUGAUCUGGUAUGCAGGAUUACCAGCAUUUUUCAGGGACCAGAGUUGUUAUCGAUUUUGCUGAGACACCUUCCAAUCUCUUUCAGUACUAUGCUUGGGAUUUUCGGAUCCUGAAGACAUUUGCUAGGCAUUAUUCUACCGGUGACGUAAUACCUGAAGAUUUGGUGAAAUCCAUAAGGGGAGCCAAAGAUAUGUUUUCUGGUACUGAGUUGCAGCGACAGAUAUUUUACGCUUUAAUUGACCAAAAGUUGUUUGGGGAAGAGGCAUCCUCCAUAAGGGAUACUGCUUCAAUUGUAGCGGAAUUAAAAAGACAACAUACCAGUUGGAAGCAUGUUGAUGGCACACAUUGGCACACCCGAUUUGGUCAUCUUGCAUCAUAUGGGGCAGGAUAUUACAGCUACUUGUAUGCCAAAUGCUUUGCUGCAACAAUAUGGCAAAAGAUUUGUGAAGAGGAUCCGCUCUCAUUAGCCGCAGGAUCUGCUAUUAGGCACAAGUUCUUGCAGCACGGAGGAGCCAAGGAUCCUGGUGAUAUAUUAAAUGAUCUCGCGGGAAAAGGUAUCUUAAAUUCUCGUUAUGGCGGUAUAGUUCCUGACAUUACAAGCCUGAGUCAUGAAAUGGAGCUAAAGAAUUAGCAACCUGAAGUGGUGACUGUACAAGAAUCGGAGAAGUUGAGUUAGACGGCAAGAAAACACAUUUGUAGGUGUAUUAUGUACAAAACCAUCUACGGCUCAAGUGAACAAGUGGCUGCUGCUGUUCUGUCAUCUUGACGUUCCAAGUCACAAAGAAAGUUGACGCAUCAAGAUUACCACCACAACCACUGGGCCAUUGGCUCAGUGGCCACUGGCCACCACCUAGUUGGUGAUCCCUUGCCUCCCAUAAAAAAUGUCACAUUUAAGUGGCUUGUUUUAAAAAAAAAUUCAGGCGGAUGUGCUGUGUAUCUGUCUAGUCCGGUGGUAGUUCAGUCCCCUCCGGAUUAUUUCUGGGCCUCCUUAGGUCCGCCCCUUUCCCCUUAGUGUAAGAUAGAUUAGGUUUAUCGUCUUUGAAAAAAAAAAAAUCAAGAUUACCACCACUUGUAGGUGUAUUCUGCAAGCGUCAAACACUAAAUAGGGCCCCGGUUGGCAUAGAGCUGUCUUGUAUCGUCUUGACGCCUUUCGAUUGUCUUGGCGACUGUAGACAUGUACUCUUAUCAAUCGCUUAUUUAGACAUAAAAAUAAGAAAAACCGGCAUUGGCAGCAUUUUGGUCCUGUCCGCAUUGAAAAAGUACAGAAAUAGAAUAGCUAUUUUGCUGUUG